UGAAAGUUCUUGAUAUUUUUGGUGUC
RNAcentral lists this non-coding RNA (26 nucleotides) under Mus musculus (house mouse). The record is from RNAcentral. Lineage: Eukaryota; Metazoa; Chordata; Mammalia; Rodentia; Muridae.